AAACGGUGAGUAAUACCGUAUACGCCCUAAGGGGGAAAGAUUUAUCGGAUUUGGAUCGGCCCGCGUUAGAUUAGGUAGUUGGUGGGGUAACGGCCUACCAAGCCUACGAUCUAUAGCUGGUUUUAGAGGAUGAUCAGCAACACUGGGACUGAGACACGGCCCAGACUCCUACGGGAGGCAGCAGUGGGGAAUCUUGGACAAUGGGGGAAACCCUGAUCCAGCCAUGCCGCGUGAGUGAAGAAGGCCCUAGGGUCGUAAAACUCUUUCGCCUGUGAUGAUAAUGACAGUAGCAGGUAAAGAAACCCCGG
RNAcentral lists this ribosomal RNA (308 nucleotides) under uncultured bacterium. Its description in RNAcentral is "bacterial SSU rRNA". It matches the Rfam family "Bacterial small subunit ribosomal RNA", at positions 154 to 496 of the family's 1533-position model. The record is from RNAcentral.